CCUACGAGCGGCAGCAGUGAGGAAUAUUGGUCAAUGGCCGAAAGUCUGAACCAGCCAAGUCGCGUGAAGGAAGACUGCCCUCUGGGUUGUAAACCUCUUUUAUACGGGAAUAAAGCGUUCCACGUGUGGGUUUUUGUAUGUACCGUAUGAAUAAAGACCGGCUAAUUCCGUGCCAUCAGCCGCGGUAAUACGGAAGGUCCGGGCGUUAUCCGGAUUUAUUGGGUUUAAAGGGAGCGUAGGCGGGUUGUUAAGUGAGAUGUGAAAUUUUGUGGCUCAACCUUAAGAUUGCGGCGGAUACUGGAGAGCUUGAGUGCAGUAGAGGGAGGCGGAAUUCGUGGUGUAGCGGUGAAAUGCUUAGAGAUCACGAAGAACUCCGAUUGCGAAGGCAGUCCGCCGGAGCGUAACUGACGCUGAGGCUCGAAAGCGUGGGUAUCAAACAGGAUUAGAUACCCCUGUAGUC
RNAcentral lists this ribosomal RNA (460 nucleotides) under uncultured bacterium. RNAcentral's name for it is "partial 16S ribosomal RNA". It matches the Rfam family "Bacterial small subunit ribosomal RNA", at positions 338 to 795 of the family's 1533-position model. The record is from RNAcentral.